Molecule: long non-coding RNA, 207 nt
Filed under: Elaeis guineensis (African oil palm)
Lineage: Eukaryota; Viridiplantae; Streptophyta; Magnoliopsida; Arecales; Arecaceae
Description: long non-coding RNA (EGUI_LNC017267)
Source: RNAcentral
AGGGGCUUUUACUACUCAACCACCAUAUUUUGGUUUCAUUUCACCUUCCAUUCCUACCACUUUCACUAUCCCAUCCUCUUCCUCUACUAUGCAACCAUCAUCUUUUAUAUAUCCAUCACUUUAUUUCCAAUACCCCAAUACCAUGCCACACACACCUAGUCCUACUUGCAGUCCUUCCUUUUUCCUACACUGUGGUCCCACUUGGAC